Molecule: ribosomal RNA, 468 nt
Filed under: uncultured bacterium
Lineage: Bacteria
Description: partial 16S ribosomal RNA
Rfam family: Bacterial small subunit ribosomal RNA
Source: RNAcentral
GACGAACGCUGGCGGCGUGCUUAACACAUGCAAGUCGAACGGAAAGGCCCUGCUUUUGUGGGUUGCUCGAUUGGCGAACGGGUGAGUAACACGUGAGUAACCUGCCCUUGACUUUGGGAUAACUUCAGGAAACUGGGGCUAAUACCGGAUAGGAGCUCCUGCUGCAUGUUGUUGGUUGGAAAGUUUCGGCCGUUCGGGAUGUACUCGCUGCUUCUCCGCUUGUUUGUGAGGUAGUUGCUUACCAAGGGUUUGACGGAUAGCCGGCAUGAGAGCGUGACCGGGGACAGUGGGACUAAGAUACGGACCAGAAGGGUACGGGAGGCAACAGGGGGGAGUAUUGCAGAGUGGGCGGGAGUCAGAGGCAGAAGCGUCGGGAGCGGGAAGACGGGUUACGAGGUGUAAACAGAUGUCGAAGGAGACGAAGAGAGAGUGACGGUAAUGAAUAAAGAAGCAACGGCUAACUACGUG